This 289-nucleotide signal recognition particle RNA is filed under the name Pelodiscus sinensis (Chinese soft-shelled turtle). RNAcentral's name for it is "Metazoan signal recognition particle RNA (ENSPSIG00000019632.1)". It matches the Rfam family "Metazoan signal recognition particle RNA". Rfam says of the family: The signal recognition particle (SRP) is a universally conserved ribonucleoprotein. It is involved in the co-translational targeting of proteins to membranes. The record is from RNAcentral. Lineage: Eukaryota; Metazoa; Chordata; Testudines; Trionychidae.
GCCGGGCCUCGUGGCGGGUGUCUGGGAUCCCAGCGCUCGGGGAGGCUGAGGCCGGCAGAUCGCUUGAGCUCAGGGCUGCAGGGGGCUGUGCCGAGCGGGUGUCCGCACUGAGGGCGACAUCGACAUGGGGGUCCCUAGGGAGCCGGGGGUCCCCAGGUUGCCUAAGGAGGGGCAAACUGGCCCAGGUCGGGAACAGAGCAGGUCAAAGCUCCCGUGCCGCUCAGUAGUGGGAUGGCGCCUGUGAACAGCCCCUGCAGCGCAGCCUGGGCGAGACAGGGAGACCCGGCCU